GAUGAACGCUGGCGGCGUGCCUAAUACAUGCAAGUCGAGCGAACGGACGAGAAGCUUGCUUCUCUGAUGUUAGCGGCGGACGGGUGAGUAACACGUGGAUAACCUACCUAUAAGACUGGGAUAACUUCGGGAAACCGGAGCUAAUACCGGAUAAUAUUUUGAACCGCAUGGUUCAAAAGUGAAAGACGGUCUUGCUGUCACUUAUAGAUGGAUCCGCGCUGCAUUAGCUAGUUGGUAAGGUAACGGCUUACCAAGGCAACGAUGCAUAGCCGACCUGAGAGGGUGAUCGGCCACGAUGGAACUGAGACACGGUCCAGAGUCCUACGAGAGGCAGCAGUAGGGAAUCUUCCGCAGUGGGCGAAAGCCUGACGGAGGAACGCCGCGUGAGUGAGGAAGGUCUUCGGAUCGUAAAACUCUGUUAUUAGGGAAGAACAUAUGUGUAAGUAACUGUGCACAUCUUGACGGUACCUAAUCAGAAAGCCACGGCUAACUACGUG
RNAcentral lists this ribosomal RNA (497 nucleotides) under uncultured bacterium. RNAcentral describes it as "partial 16S ribosomal RNA". It matches the Rfam family "Bacterial small subunit ribosomal RNA", at positions 28 to 507 of the family's 1533-position model. The record is from RNAcentral.